AUUGAACGCUGGCGGCGUGCUUAACACAUGCAAGUCGAGCGAGAAAGCUCUCUUCGGAGAGUGAGUAGAGCGGCGCACGGGAGAGUAACGCGUGGAUGAUCUGCCCCGAAGAUUGGGAUAACAGUUGGAAACGACUGCUAAUACCAAAUGUGCUACAUAUUUAACUUUAUGUGGGAAAGAUGGCCUCUAUUUAUAAGCUAUCGCUUCGGGAUGAGUCCGCGUCUCAUUAGCUUGUUGGUGGGGUAACGGCCUACCAAGGCAACGAUGAGUAGCUGGUCUGAGAGGAUGAUCAGCCUCACUGGGACUGAAACACGGCCCAGACUCCUACGGGAGCAGCAGUGGGAAUAUGCGCAAGGGGGAAAACCUGACGCAGCGACGCCGCGUGUAGGAAGAAGGCUUU
This 400-nucleotide ribosomal RNA is filed under the name uncultured bacterium. RNAcentral's name for it is "bacterial SSU rRNA". It matches the Rfam family "Bacterial small subunit ribosomal RNA", at positions 30 to 418 of the family's 1533-position model. The record is from RNAcentral.